CAGCAGCCGCCGCGGUAAUACGGAGGGUGCAAGCGCUAAUCGGAAUUACUGGGCGUAAAGCGCACGCAGGCGGUUUGUUAAGUCAGAUGUGAAAUCCCCGAGCUUAACUUGGGAACUGCAUUUGAAACUGGCAAGCUAGAGUCUUGUAGAGGGGGGUAGAAUUCCAGGUGUAGCGGUGAAAUGCGUAGAGAUCUGGAGGAAUACCGGUGGCGAAGGCGGCCCCCUGGACAAAGACUGACGCUCAGGUGCGAAAGCGUGGGGAGCAAACAGGAUUAGAUACCCCUGUAGUCCCUGUCUCUUAUAC
This 304-nucleotide ribosomal RNA is filed under the name uncultured bacterium. Its description in RNAcentral is "partial 16S ribosomal RNA". It matches the Rfam family "Bacterial small subunit ribosomal RNA", at positions 506 to 807 of the family's 1533-position model. The record is from RNAcentral.